CUGGUAUGUACCUGUACAGACACUUGGAGUCUGAGGCAGGAAGAUCCCAAGUUCAAGACCAGCCUCAGCAAUUUAGCAAGACCCUGGCUAAAAAUAAAAAAUAAGGAUUGGGGAUGUAGCUUAGUGGAAGGGCCCUGGGGUUUAAUCCGUGAUACAAAAACAAAACAAAAUAUUACUUUAUCUUUUACAUUUAGAUCUGUGGUCAAUCUGGAAUUUGUUUUUAUUUUGGUGAGAAGUAUAUAGGUCAAAAUUUCCAUGUUGAUUUCAGGAGAUUUUUACAGAAUUUGCUAAAUAGGCCAUGUCAUUUUUAUCACAAAUAUGUGUCAAAUAUGUUUAAAUCUGAUUCUGUUCUUUUGGUCUGUGUCUUCUAUGUUAAUAUCAUAUUGACUUCAUUAUCGC
RNAcentral lists this long non-coding RNA (399 nucleotides) under Marmota monax (woodchuck). The record is from RNAcentral. Lineage: Eukaryota; Metazoa; Chordata; Mammalia; Rodentia; Sciuridae.